This 253-nucleotide ribosomal RNA is filed under the name uncultured bacterium. RNAcentral describes it as "partial 16S ribosomal RNA". It matches the Rfam family "Bacterial small subunit ribosomal RNA", at positions 524 to 776 of the family's 1533-position model. The record is from RNAcentral.
UACGGAGGGGGCUAGCGUUGUUCGGAAUUACUGGGCGUAAAGCGCACGUAGGCGGCUUUGUAAGUUAGAGGUGAAAGCCCAGGGCUUAACCCUGGAAUUGCCUUUAAGACUGCAUCGCUAGAAUCGUGGAGAGGUGAGUGGAAUUCCGAGUGUAGAGGUGAAAUUCGUAGAUAUUCGCAAGAACACCAGUGGCGAAGGCGGCUCACUGGCCCGGUACUGACACUGAGGUGCGAAAGCGUGGGGAGCAAACAGG